This 255-nucleotide ribosomal RNA is filed under the name uncultured bacterium. RNAcentral describes it as "partial 16S ribosomal RNA". It matches the Rfam family "Bacterial small subunit ribosomal RNA", at positions 524 to 776 of the family's 1533-position model. The record is from RNAcentral.
UACGUAGGGUGCAAGCGUUGUCCGGAAUUAUUGGGCGUAAAGAGCUCGUAGGCGGUUUGUCGCGUCGGCUGUGAAAGCCCGGAGCUCAACUCCGGGUCUGCAGUCGAUACGGGGCAGACUUGAGUGUUGCAGGGGAGACUGGAAUUCCUGGUGUAGCGGUGAAAUGCGCAGAUAUCAGGAGGAACACCGAUGGCGAAGGCAGGUCUCUGGGCCAACUGACUGACGCUGAGAAGCGAAAGCAUGGGAGCGAACAGG